Long non-coding RNA from Anoplopoma fimbria (sablefish), 478 nucleotides. RefSeq lists it as uncharacterized. The record is from RefSeq and is a predicted model, not a curated record. Lineage: Eukaryota; Metazoa; Chordata; Actinopteri; Perciformes; Anoplopomatidae. The transcript is spliced from 4 exons.
UGUUCUUUGGCUGACCCAGCUGCUGUUUUGUUGGCUUUGUUUAGUUAUUGUGAUUUGUUAAUAGUAUUUGUUAAAUAAAUGUACCUAUUUAUUAGAUAUACACCCGUCUUGUCUCCUUCAUGUUGCAGCCUGAGAGCCGGGUUGUAACAAAUGUCAUGCUAAAAGUUUCCCCAGUUGAGGAUACUCCUCCACGGGGGACGAUCCUUGAGGCCGCGGUCGCUCUGUGAACUGAGCUUGCUCGUCACAUGUCUGCGUGGACAUAAGCCCUCUGCUUCAAACGCACACAGUGGGGAGGGGGAGACGGGAGAUGUGCAGAGCCGCCCGACAUCCUCGAUGAUGACAUCUUCAAACACACACACACUCCCCUGCGCUCUGCAGACACACCCAGCGCUCGCUGCAGCUCAUUCAGGUCCAUCAGACACGACUGGAGGCUCCCGGCUCCUCCGUGGCCGCCGGCUGAGCGCAUCUUCACGUCCUC